Molecule: ribosomal RNA, 301 nt
Filed under: uncultured bacterium
Lineage: Bacteria
Description: partial 16S ribosomal RNA
Rfam family: Bacterial small subunit ribosomal RNA
Source: RNAcentral
CAGUCGCCACGGUAAUACAGAGGGUGCAAGCGUUAAUCGGAAUUACUGGGCGUAAAGCGCGCGUAGGUGGUUUGUUAAGUUGGAUGUGAAAGCCCCGGGCUCAACCUGGGAACUGCAUCCAAAACUGGCAAGCUAGAGUACGGUAGAGGGUGGUGGAAUUUCCUGUGUAGCGGUGAAAUGCGUAGAUAUAGGAAGGAACACCAGUGGCGAAGGCGACCACCUGGACUGAUACUGACACUGAGGUGCGAAAGCGUGGGGAGCAAACAGGAUUAGAUACCCCUGUAGUCCCUGUCUCUUAUAU